RNAcentral lists this transfer RNA (557 nucleotides) under Stutzerimonas stutzeri. RNAcentral's name for it is "Pseudomonas stutzeri partial 16S-23S ribosomal RNA intergenic spacer". The stretch from base 112 to 185 matches the Rfam family "tRNA". The record is from RNAcentral. Lineage: Bacteria; Pseudomonadati; Pseudomonadota; Gammaproteobacteria; Pseudomonadales; Pseudomonadaceae.
GCGGCUGGAUCACCUCCUUAAUCGAAGACUUCAGCUUCUUCAUAAGCUCCCACACGAAUUGCUUGAUUCACUAGCGAAAAGCGAUUGGGUUUCGACCCGAGAGAGACGAUUGGGUCUGUAGCUCAGUUGGUUAGAGCGCACCCCUGAUAAGGGUGAGGUCGGCAGUUCGAAUCUGCCCAGACCCACCAAUUGUCAUGGGAUGUGGCCGAUCUGUAGAUGGGGCCAUAGCUCAGCUGGGAGAGCGCCUGCUUUGCACGCAGGAGGUCAGCGGUUCGAUCCCGCUUGGCUCCACCAUUAACUCGAAAAUCGCUGAAAGCUCAGAAAUGAGUGCUGCUUGCGCAUCGCAUGAUGUGUGAGGGUAUUGAUUUCUGGUCUUUGCGCCAGAACUGUUCUUUAAAAAUUUGGGUAUGUGAUAGAAGUAGAUUUGAGUGGUCACUUUCACUGGUGAUUAUUCAAGUCAAGGUAAAAUUUGCGUGUUCUCUAUGCAAAUUUUCGGCGAAUGUCGUCUUCACGUUAUAGACAGUAACCAGAUUGCUUGGGGUUAUAUGGUCAAGUGA